RNAcentral lists this ribosomal RNA (527 nucleotides) under Prosoeca peringueyi. Its description in RNAcentral is "partial large subunit ribosomal RNA". It matches the Rfam family "Bacterial large subunit ribosomal RNA", at positions 1807 to 2608 of the family's 2925-position model. Lineage: Eukaryota; Metazoa; Arthropoda; Insecta; Diptera; Nemestrinidae. The record is from RNAcentral.
UCAAAAACAUGUCCUUUUGAAUUUAAUUUAAGGUNUGACCUGCCCACUGAAUCAUUGAAUGGCCGCAGUAUUUUAACUGUGCAAAGGUAGCAUAAUCAUUAGUCUUUUAAUUGAAGGCUUGUAUGAAUGGUUGGACAAGAUAUAUAUUGUUUCAUAUAAAAUUAUAGAAUUUUAUUUUUUAGUAAAAAAGCUAAAAUUUAAUUAAAAGACGAGAAGACCCUAUAGAUCUUUAUAAUUACCGAAUCUUAUUGAUCAAGAAUAAUUUCUAUUUGAUUUAUGUAAUUAUUUUAUUGGGGUGAUAGUAAGAUUGAUUUAACUCUUAUGAUUAAAAUACAUAAAUUAAUGAUUUAUUGAUCCAAUAUUAUUGAUUAAUAAAACAAGUUACCUUAGGGAUAACAGCGUAAUUUUUUUAGAGAGUUCAUAUCGAUAAAAAAGAUUGCGACCUCGAUGUUGGAUUAAGAGAUAAAUUUGGGCGUAGCCGUUCAAAUUUAAAGUCUGUUCGACUUUUUAAUUCUUACAUGAUCUGA